UGAGGAGAAACCAAUUGAAAUACUUGAUCGUAAGGAAAAACAACUGAGAAGUAGGGUGAUCCAAAUGGUGAAGUUCUAUAGGCUAACCACUUGACCUCUGAGGCUAUGUGGGAAGUAGAGGAACAAAUGAGAACGAAAUACCCCUAACUUUUCUCUUAGGGUGAUAUGAUUUUUUUGUAAUGAAUGCUCUAAUUGAAAGUUAUAUGAUACUGCAUGAUCUGAAUGUUUAUUUGAUGAAACGAUUUAUGACAUUGCUUAUUACGCAUAUAUCAUAUGGAAUGAAUUUUUAUAUGUAUGUUUAUUAUCAAUGAUUUAGGUUCUAACUGAGCUCCAGUUUCGAGGACGAAACUUUUUCUAAGAGGGGAAGGAUGUAAUACCCCAAGUUUUACUUUUAAUUAAUUAAUAACUAAUCUUAAUGAUUAAACUAAUAGUGAACUAAUUUUAGUAAAUAAAAAUUUCUAAGUUAAUUUCUAAGAUAUGUUGUUUAAUAAUUUUAGGAUAACAAAGUUCAUAAAUUAAAAUCCUAAGUCUUAGCAUCAAUCUUGUAAAUGAUGUAAGACUUAAGGUUAGCAAAAAUUCUGAUGGACCCAAUGCCCAAUGACCAAAUCCUUUGAAGCCCAAACAAAACAAAAAGGCCUAGUAUUUAUCUCUCCCAAAAUCAGAAAAUAAAACAAAAAUUAAAAGAAAAGCAAUAACUCCAUCUUCUUCCUCCUCCAUACGUGGAAGGACAAGAAUGGAGAUUUCUAAACAAAGUCAAAAACCAUCUCAGUAAACUUAAUUGAGUUUUCACUCUCUCAACCACCCUUAAUCCACUGGUUUUCUCAAAACCCCUGAAUUUAGCCACUUGUUUCUUGAAUGGUUUUGGUAAUUUAAAAUUCUGAAAUUCAUCUACUGAGAUGGAGAUUUCUCUAUAAAUAGGGAAGAAUGAUUGUGUUUUUGACAUCACAAAAUCAACAACAAUAAUUCAGAAAUUUACAUCAACUAAAAGAAUUUGGAACAAAAGUUUUUCAAAUCUUUCAACUCCUCUAUUCUUCUGUUUCGGCCACCACUUCAACCACAACGGUACCACCACCCAUCAUCAAUCUGCCUUUAUGCUGCCGUCGAGCAGGCAUAGCCGCCGCCGACCAACCGCCCCAGUCCCCUCUCCCGUCUCGCGCACUCCGUCGUCGCCUUCGAACCCUUGCACGCCCAUUCUCUCUCCUCCUUUCUCCACCCAUUAUUCGCUACUAUUGUGCCUAGUACACGCGCGUACUGCACUGAAAAUCGCCGCCGUGGGUCCGCGCUGCUCGUCGUCGACAACCGAGCCUCGCCGGAUUUCUGCCGGAGCUCCAUUCCUCUUGCUGCGACGCCGAGCCACGUUUCUCUCCUGCGUGUGUGUGUGUUUUCUUGGGAACUCGUUCCUCGGAGCUCAGUAAGGACGAUAUCCAGGACAUAAGAAGAGGAUUAUUAUUAUUACUCUGCAAUCAAGGUAACACCUACUGCUAGUACCCGCAAUUCCCUUUAAAUGUUUUUAUGAACAUGAGAACAAUGUGAUUUAGUGAAAGUUUAUCAAAAUGUUUAUUCUUGAGUUGCGGGAUGAUUACUAUGAUUUAUUUGUAAGUACAUUUUAUGAGUUUUAUGAACUGGAUGGAUUAUCAUGAGCUAUGGUUUAUGAAAAGAUGAUAUGAAAUGAUUUUUGCUACCUAAAUCAUUAAGGUAGAGCUGAGAUGAAAGAUUGAUGAUUAUCACCUAUGAAUAAUAAAUAUUUUGAAACAUGAUAACGUAAAGUGAAAGAACUGGUUUGCUGAGCUGAUUGGCGGUCGUAUACGUACCGAGCUGUUUACUGGGGCACUGACGCGUUACUGUUAUUAGGGCACAAGCCCGUUACUGGUGUAGGGUAAUGCCCGGGACACAGGUUCUUGCACAGUGGUGCAUACACAUGGCUGGGAGACGUCCCAGAGCUGACUGAUUUUGCAGCAACCAGAGUAAAAAUGUAUAAAAGGAUCAAUGGAUUAUAAAGGUGAAGUUGAAUAAAUGUUAUUUUGACAAAUGUUUGAAUUAUUCUUUCUCCCUGUUUGCAAAUAAAAUGAGUUGAAAUGAAUUUACGUUGUUGGGGUAGUUUGUUACUGAGCCUCGGCUCAUAACGUUUUGCUUUUAUGUUUUAGGUAUGGUCAGACAGUUGAAAGAUCGUUGGUAAAACGGAUUUUUGCUAAUGAGUGUUAAAGAAUCUAGUAUGGCACUAAUAGUAAGGGUUCGUAAGCUCAAGCUAGAAGCACUGCAAGAGAGAGAGUUUAGGAUGGAUCUCGUGUAUCGAUGCUGUUGUCUGUAUUUUAUAUCUUAUGAGCUAGGAAGAUUAUAUUAUUAUUAUGGCUAAUAUUGGUGAGUUUUAAGAAUUAUAUUCUCUAAGACUAUUUAAGCCAAUUAUUAUAUUUGUGGGCCCAUAACCCACAGGUUUAA
Molecule: long non-coding RNA, 2436 nt
Organism: Beta vulgaris subsp. vulgaris (sugar beet)
Lineage: Eukaryota; Viridiplantae; Streptophyta; Magnoliopsida; Caryophyllales; Amaranthaceae
Exons: 2
Source: RefSeq, a predicted model, not a curated record